Molecule: unclassified non-coding RNA, 353 nt
Filed under: soil metagenome
Description: partial contains 5.8S ribosomal RNA, internal transcribed spacer 2, and large subunit ribosomal RNA
Rfam family: 5.8S ribosomal RNA (bases 1-120)
Source: RNAcentral
GAUGAAGAACGCAGCGAAAUGCGAUAAGUAAUGUGAAUUGCAGAAUUCAGUGAAUCAUCGAAUCUUUGAACGCACAUUGCGCCCGCCAGUAUUCUGGCGGGCAUGCCUGUUCGAGCGUCAUUACAACCCUCAGGCCCCCGGGCCUGGCGUUGGGGAUCGGCGGAAGCCCCCUGCGGGCACAACGCCGUCCCCCAAAUACAGUGGCGGUCCCGCCGCAGCUUCCAUUGCGUAGUAGCUAACACCUCGCAACUGGAGAGCGGCGCGGCCAUGCCGUAAAACACCCAACUUCUGAAUGUUGACCUCGAAUCAGGUAGGAAUACCCGCUGAACUUAAGCAUAUCAAUAAGCGGAGGA